ACCAGACUCCUACGGGAGGCAGCAGUGGGGGAUAUUGCACAAUGGGGGGAACCCUGAUGCAGCGACGCCGCGUGGGUGAAGGAGUAUUUCGGUAUGUAAAGCCCUAUCGGCAGGGAAGAAGCAAGACGGUACCUGACUAAGAAGCCCCGGCUAACUACGUGCCAGCAGCCGCGGUAAUACGUAGGGGGCGAGCGUUAUCCGGAUUCACUGGGUGUAAAGGGAGCGUAGACGGCCAAGCAAGCCAGGGGUGAAAGCCCGGGGCCCAACCCCGGGACUGCCCUUGGAACUGCUUGGCUGGAGUGCGGGAGGGGCAGGCGGAAUUCCUGGUGUAGCGGUGAAAUGCGUAGAUAUCAGGAGGAACACCGGCGGCGAAGGCGGCCUGCUGGACCGCGACUGACGUUGAGGCUCGAAGGCGUGGGGAGCAAACAGGAUUAGAUACCCGAGUAUG
RNAcentral lists this ribosomal RNA (448 nucleotides) under uncultured bacterium. RNAcentral describes it as "partial 16S ribosomal RNA". It matches the Rfam family "Bacterial small subunit ribosomal RNA", at positions 330 to 793 of the family's 1533-position model. The record is from RNAcentral.